UAAUACGGAGGGGGCAAGCGUUGUUCGGAUUUACUGGGCGUAAAGGGUCCGUAGGUGGUUGCAUAAGUCUGGUGUGAAAUCUUCGCCGCUUAACGGGAAGAAGCCACUGGAAACUGCGUAACUUGAGUAUGGUAGAGGCAAGCGGAAUUCCUGGUGUAGCGGUGGAAUGUGUAGAUAUCAGGAAGAACAUCUGUGGCGAAGGCGGCUUGCUGGGCCAUCACUGACACUGAGGGACGAAAGCGUGGGGAGCAAACGGGAUUAGAUACCCCGGUAGUCCACGCCGUAAACGGUGCAUGCUAGGUGUAGGGGGUAUCGACCCCUCCUGUGCCGACGUUAACACAUUAAGCAUGCCGCCUGGGGAGUACGGCCGCAAGGUUG
RNAcentral lists this ribosomal RNA (378 nucleotides) under uncultured bacterium. RNAcentral describes it as "bacterial SSU rRNA". It matches the Rfam family "Bacterial small subunit ribosomal RNA", at positions 521 to 896 of the family's 1533-position model. The record is from RNAcentral.